GAUGAACGCUGGCGGCGUGCUUAACACAUGCAAGUCGAGCGAACAGACGAGGAUCUUGCUGGUCGCACGUGAGCGGCGGACGGGUAAGUAACACGAGGGUACCCUGCCUAGAGGACUGAGAAAACGUAGGGAAAGCGGAUAUAAUAUCGGAUAAUCUAGUGAAACGCGUGGUUCGUUAGAGAAAGACGGUUUUGCUGGCACGUAUAGAGGGUUCCGCGCCGCAUUAGCUAGUUGGUAAGGUAACGGCUUACCAAGGCAACGAUGCGUAGCCGACCUGAGAGGGUGAUCGGCCACACUGGAACUGAGACACGGUCCAGACUCCUACGGGAGGCAGCAGUAGGGAAUCUUCCGCAAUGGGGGAAAGCCUGACGGAGCAACGCCGCGUGAGUGAUGAAGGUCUUCGGAUCGUAAAGCUCUGUUAUUAGGGAAGAACCGUUGUGUACGUAAACCUGCACGUAUUGACGGUACCUGCUCAAAAAGCAACGGCUAACUACGUG
Molecule: ribosomal RNA, 497 nt
Filed under: uncultured bacterium
Lineage: Bacteria
Description: partial 16S ribosomal RNA
Rfam family: Bacterial small subunit ribosomal RNA
Source: RNAcentral